Rhododendron vialii is the source of this 921-nucleotide long non-coding RNA. RefSeq lists it as uncharacterized. The transcript is spliced from 2 exons. NCBI's taxonomy places the organism in Eukaryota, Viridiplantae, Streptophyta, Magnoliopsida, Ericales, Ericaceae. The record is from RefSeq and is a predicted model, not a curated record.
GGACGGGGAAAAAUAGCCUUCCCAAAAACGCUGCGUCAUUAACACCAAAAUCCCUCAGUCAGUCCAAUCUCCUAAUCCACUGAACUCCGCUUUCUGGCAAAUUGAUACUACAAAAGCAUCCCGGAUUGAGUAUUCGAAGAGACGCCCAAGACAGAUAACACAUGUAUUCGAAACAUGACAACUGUAUCUAAAAGGUGAUUAUAUAUUCCGCAAUUUCCAUGUAUAGAAGAGUCCUCCAUGGAUGGGUUCAACAAGUAGAUGAAAACUUCUAUAGACAAACAUGACAUAGUAAGUUAAAAUUUCUCCAUUGUUCACACCUCUGUAACCAUUAUUUGUUGUCCUUUGUAAUGGAACGGACAUCCCAAAAAUAAUAUCCCUGAAACACAGAUUGGUAUGGGAGUCACGUACACCAACUGUUUGAUUCAUUUACUUGGUAUAAGUUUCAGUACAGGUGAUGCCACAUAUGAGUGGCCCUUGCAGAUUUUCUCUUACUGUAUUUGGCGUCUUUGCAUUGGAUAUUAACGUUACAAGAAAACAAGAAAGGGAGAGAAUGGUUUCUCUUUUAAAGAAAAUGAAGUUUGGCACUUUGAUCUUAUGAAAGGGGAAUACAUCCAUCAGGCUACGAAAAGCAAAUAGGCGGUUGGCUUGAGGAUGGAAACGUUGGCAAGGAACAAUCAUGCCAACGUAAAACAUAUCCGCUCCAUCCCUUCUCUGCAGAUUAUCUAUUCCAAGCUAAAUCAUAUCUUGGGGGCCCAAACUUCCGUAAAAAUACUGUAAAUUUGUUAACCCUUUUCUAAAUAAUGCAACUUUCUUGGUCACAUAAAAUGCAUAUGCAUAUGUCUUGUGUUUUAGUGUAGAAUAUGGACUUAUGGGUGUUAAUUCCACUGAAUUUUCGUUCUUGCCAUUUGAUAAAAGAAAGAA